AGAUUGAACGCUGGCGGCAGGCCUAACACAUGCAAGUCGAGCGGCAGCACGGGUACUUGUACCUGGUGGCGAGCGGCGGACGGGUGAGUAAUGCCUAGGAAUCUGCCUGGUAGUGGGGGAUAACGCUCGGAAACGGACGCUAAUACCGCAUACGUCCUACGGGAGAAAGCAGGGGACCUUCGGGCCUUGCGCUAUCAGAUGAGCCUAGGUCGGAUUAGCUAGUUGGUGAGGUAAUGGCUCACCAAGGCGACGAUCCGUAACUGGUCUGAGAGGAUGAUCAGUCACACUGGAACUGAGACACGGUCCAGACUCCGUACGGGAGGCAGCAGUGGGAAUAUUGGACAAGUGGGCGAAAGCCGUGAUCCAGCCAUGUCGCGUGUGUGAAGAAGGUCUUCGGAUUGUAAAGCUACUUUAAGUGGAGGAAGGCAGUUACCUAAUACGUAUCUUGUUUGACGUUACGAUAGAAUAAGCACGCUAACUCUGUG
This 485-nucleotide ribosomal RNA is filed under the name uncultured soil bacterium. RNAcentral describes it as "bacterial SSU rRNA". It matches the Rfam family "Bacterial small subunit ribosomal RNA", at positions 26 to 507 of the family's 1533-position model. The record is from RNAcentral.